AUUGGUACCCUAACGCUAGCAUUGACUUGUCUAUAUAAUGCAGUAAGUGCUACUUGUUGAGGUAGUUUGA
Molecule: microRNA precursor, 70 nt
Filed under: Salmo salar (Atlantic salmon)
Lineage: Eukaryota; Metazoa; Chordata; Actinopteri; Salmoniformes; Salmonidae
Description: miR-430 microRNA precursor family
Rfam family: miR-430 microRNA precursor family
Source: Rfam by way of RNAcentral